AAAGUGAAUAGUGAAAUCUGGAGGCUCAACCUCACAGGCUAUUAUUCAAACUCAUAAACUCGAGAAUGGUAGAGGUAACUGGAAUUUCUAGUGUAGGAGUGAAAUCCGUAGACAUUAGAAGGAACACCAAUGGCGUAGGCAGGUUACUGGACCAUUUCUGACGCUAAGGCACGAAAGCGUGGGGAGCGAACCGGAUUAGAUACCCGGGUAGUCCACGCUGUAAACGGUGGAUACUA
Molecule: ribosomal RNA, 236 nt
Filed under: uncultured Candidatus Saccharibacteria bacterium
Lineage: Bacteria; Candidatus Saccharimonadota
Description: partial 16S ribosomal RNA
Rfam family: Bacterial small subunit ribosomal RNA
Source: RNAcentral